Molecule: long non-coding RNA, 428 nt
Organism: Thamnophis elegans (Western terrestrial garter snake)
Lineage: Eukaryota; Metazoa; Chordata; Lepidosauria; Squamata; Natricidae
Exons: 3
Source: RefSeq, a predicted model, not a curated record
GGCCUUUGCCUUCACAAAGGCCGUCGGCCGUUCAGGAGGGCUGUUUUCUUAAGACUCUGCACGUGCCCAUGUCCACCGGGUGACUUCAGAAGGAGCCGGGCCAAUCAAGGCUGAGACGGGAGGAGGGCUCAUGCCAGCUCUAUGAUUGGCUGGUGCUGUGCAAACAGGAGCAAAAGGGCCGUGCACCUGUGCUACCUGAGGGAGCCCACUUCCUGUGAUGAAGCUGAUCAGAGACCGGCAGGUAAGGAAGGAGGAGGAGGCCCUCUUGGAGAAGAGCCGGCUGUCACCUGUCCACCAAGACGGUUGUUUCCUCAACAUUGCAAAGGGAGCCAAGCCAGAAACAGCUGCUUUGGGUGAGAAUUGAGUGUAGGGUGGUGGGAGGUGCUAAGGGUGGCGCAGUGGUUAGGGUGCAGUACUGAAGGCCACUA